Molecule: microRNA precursor, 116 nt
Filed under: Dasypus novemcinctus (nine-banded armadillo)
Lineage: Eukaryota; Metazoa; Chordata; Mammalia; Cingulata; Dasypodidae
Description: miRNA (ENSDNOG00000028717.1)
Source: RNAcentral
UGUGUCUGUGUACGUGUGUCUGCAUGUACAUGUGUGUGUCUGUGUGUCCGUGUGAUGCGUGUGUCUGUGUCUGCGUGUCCAUGUGUCUUCGUGUCCAUGUGUCUGUGUGUACAUGU